RNAcentral lists this ribosomal RNA (292 nucleotides) under uncultured microorganism. RNAcentral's name for it is "partial 16S ribosomal RNA". It matches the Rfam family "Bacterial small subunit ribosomal RNA", at positions 505 to 796 of the family's 1533-position model. The record is from RNAcentral.
GUGCCAGCAGCCGCGGUAAUACAGAGGGUGCGAGCGUUAAUCGGAUUUACUGGGCGUAAAGCGUGCGUAGGCGGCUUUUUAAGUCGGAUGUGAAAUCCCUGAGCUUAACUUAGGAAUUGCAUUCGAUACUGGGAAGCUAGAGUAUGGGAGAGGAUGGUAGAAUUCCAGGUGUAGCGGUGAAAUGCGUAGAGAUCUGGAGGAAUACCGAUGGCGAAGGCAGCCAUCUGGCCUAAUACUGACGCUGAGGUACGAAAGCAUGGGGAGCAAACAGGAUUAGAUACCCUGGUAGUCC